GAGAAGUCGUAACAAGGUUUCCGUAGGUGAACUGCGGAAGGAUCAUUC
RNAcentral lists this ribosomal RNA (48 nucleotides) under Babesia gibsoni. RNAcentral describes it as "partial 18S ribosomal RNA". It matches the Rfam family "Eukaryotic small subunit ribosomal RNA", at positions 1783 to 1831 of the family's 1831-position model. Lineage: Eukaryota; Apicomplexa; Aconoidasida; Piroplasmida; Babesiidae. The record is from RNAcentral.